Molecule: non-coding RNA, 423 nt
Organism: Plutella xylostella (diamondback moth)
Lineage: Eukaryota; Metazoa; Arthropoda; Insecta; Lepidoptera; Plutellidae
Source: RefSeq, a predicted model, not a curated record
ACUUCGCAGAUCACUCUAGAUGCAAGCCGGUGUAUGGGCAGGUCCCUGACCCGUACUACCGGCCCCAAGCCAAUUACCUUCUCUCCUUCUUCAAUCUGACCGUAACCUCGACUGGCAUUCACUAUCGUGGACUACAAGGAGUUAUUCAGGACUUUUACUUAGACCGGCAGACGGAUAGGGCAGUACUGACGUUGCUGUUCAGGAACUACCGUUUGAACACCACAGUAGACUACUACCGCUACCACAGGGUGGGCAAGGAGCCAGCUAUCACCAAGACCGUUGGAGCCACUUAUUUCCCGGCGUUCACGACCACCACCAUAUUCCGAGGCAUCGAUAAGCUGGACCUGCAGACGGCCUCCACCACGGGCUACGUGGACGGGCUGCCGGUAGCGGUCAUCGCCCCCAGCGCUGGAAUUCAUCCAG